UAACCUGCCCAAGAGAUCGGGAUAACACCUGGAAACAGAUGCUAAUACCGGAUAACAACAGAUGAUGCCUAUCAACUGUUUAAAAGAUGGUUCUGCUAUCACUCUUGGAUGGACCUGCGGUGCAUUAGCUAGUUGGUAGGGUAACGGCCUACCAAGGCGAUGAUGCAUAGCCGAGUUGAGAGACUGAUAGGCCACAUUGGGACUGAGACACGGCCCAAACUCCUACGGGAGGCAGCAGUA
This 240-nucleotide ribosomal RNA is filed under the name uncultured Lactobacillus sp. RNAcentral describes it as "partial 16S ribosomal RNA". It matches the Rfam family "Bacterial small subunit ribosomal RNA", at positions 122 to 355 of the family's 1533-position model. The record is from RNAcentral. Lineage: Bacteria; Bacillati; Bacillota; Bacilli; Lactobacillales; Lactobacillaceae.